UAGGGAAUCUUGCGCAAUGGGCGAAAGCCUGACGCAGCCAUGCCGCGUGAAUGAUGAAGGUCUUAGGAUUGUAAAAUUCUUUCACCGGGGAAGAUAAUGACGGUACCCGGAGAAGAAGCCCCGGCUAACUUCGUGCCAGCAGCCGCGGUAAUACGAAGGGGGCUAGCGUUGCUCGGAAUUACUGGGCGUAAAGGGCGCGUAGGCGGAUAUCUAAGUUGGGGGUGAAAUCCCGGGGCUCAACCUCGGAACCGCCUUCAAUACUGGAUAUCUUGAGUUCGGGAGAGGUGAGUGGAAUGCCGAGUGUAGAGGUGAAAUUCGUAGAUAUUCGGCGGAACACCAGUGGCGAAGGCGACUCACUGGCCCGAUACUGACGCUGAGGCGCGAAAGCGUGGGGAGCAAACA
This 402-nucleotide ribosomal RNA is filed under the name uncultured Phenylobacterium sp. RNAcentral's name for it is "bacterial SSU rRNA". It matches the Rfam family "Bacterial small subunit ribosomal RNA", at positions 355 to 774 of the family's 1533-position model. Lineage: Bacteria; Pseudomonadati; Pseudomonadota; Alphaproteobacteria; Caulobacterales; Caulobacteraceae. The record is from RNAcentral.